ACGGCAUGAUGGGGACAUUUUCUGAUGAGAUCCUUUAAUCUCUCCCAUGACUCAUGGAACUGCUCGCCAUCUUGUUGCAAAAAGUUAGUAAGAGCUCGUCUUAUCU
This 106-nucleotide small nucleolar RNA is filed under the name Cephalotus follicularis. RNAcentral describes it as "Plant small nucleolar RNA R71". It matches the Rfam family "Plant small nucleolar RNA R71". From Rfam's summary of the family: R71 is a member of the C/D box family of snoRNAs containing the C (UGAUGA) and D (CUGA) box motifs. Multiple nearly identical copies of this snoRNA have been identified in Arabidopsis, and it is thought to function as a 2'-O-ribose methylation guide for 18S ribosomal RNA. Lineage: Eukaryota; Viridiplantae; Streptophyta; Magnoliopsida; Oxalidales; Cephalotaceae. The record is from Rfam by way of RNAcentral.